RNAcentral lists this ribosomal RNA (443 nucleotides) under uncultured Leptotrichia sp. RNAcentral's name for it is "bacterial SSU rRNA". It matches the Rfam family "Bacterial small subunit ribosomal RNA", at positions 338 to 795 of the family's 1533-position model. The record is from RNAcentral. Lineage: Bacteria; Fusobacteriati; Fusobacteriota; Fusobacteriia; Fusobacteriales; Leptotrichiaceae.
CCUACGGGAGGCAGCAGUGGGGAAUAUUGGACAAUGGAGGAGACUCUGAUCCAGCAAUUCUGUGUGCACGAAGAAGGUUUUCGGAUUGUAAAGUGCUUUCAGUGGGGAAGAAGGAAGUGACGGUACCCACAGAAGAAGCGACGGCUAAAUACGUGCCAGCAGCCGCGGUAAUACGUAUGUCGCGAGCGUUAUCCGGAAUUAUUGGGCAUAAAGGGCAUCUAGGCGGACGAUCAAGUCAGGGGUGAAAACUUGCGGCUCAACUGUAAGCUUGCCUUUGAAACUGAUUGUCUAGAGUAUUGGAAAGGUGGGCGGAACUACAUGAGUAGAGGUGAAAUUCGUAGAUAUGUGUAGGAAUGCCGAUGAUGAAGAUAGCUCACUGGACGAUAACUGACGCUGAAGUGCGAAAGCUAGGGGAGCGAACAGGAUUAGAUACCCCGGUAGUC